RNAcentral lists this ribosomal RNA (696 nucleotides) under uncultured bacterium. RNAcentral's name for it is "bacterial SSU rRNA". It matches the Rfam family "Bacterial small subunit ribosomal RNA", at positions 94 to 791 of the family's 1533-position model. The record is from RNAcentral.
AGUGGCGGACGGGUGAGUAACGCGUAGGAAUCUACCUGAUAGUGGGGGAUAGCCCGAAGAAAUUCGGAUUAAUACCGCAUAAUCUAUUCGUAGUAAAGUGGGGGACUUUCGAGCCUCACGCUAUCAGAUGAGCCUGCGUAAGAUUAGCUAGUUGGUAGGGUAAAAGCCUACCAAGGCUACGAUCUUUAGCUGGUCUGAGAGGAUGAUCAGCCACAUCGGGACUGAGACACGGCCCGAACUCCUACGGGAGGCAGCAGUGGGGAAUAUUGGACAAUGGGGGCAACCCUGAUCCAGCAAUACCGCGUGUGUGAAGAAGGCCUGAGGGUUGUAAAGCACUUUCAAUUGUGAAGAAAAGCUAGUGGUUAAUAGCCAUUAGCCUUGACGUUAACUUUAGAAGAAGCACCGGCUAACUCCGUGCCAGCAGCCGCGGUAAUACGGAGGGUGCAAGCGUUAAUCGGAAUUACUGGGCGUAAAGCGUGCGUAGGCGGUUUAUUAAGUCAGAUGUGAAAGCCCCGGGCUUAACCUGGGAACUGCAUUUGAAACUGGUCAACUAGAGUAUGGUAGAGGAAAGUGGAAUUUCUGGUGUAGCGGUGAAAUGCGUAGAUAUCAGAUCACAUCAAUGGCGAAGGCACUUUCUGGACAAUACUGACGCUGAGGUACGAAGCGUGGGUAGCAAACAGGAUUAGAUUACCUCUU